UCUACCUCGCGUGACUGACGCUUGAGAUGGGACACCAUCGGGGAGCGCGAGUGCAUAGCGCCGCGCGUCUGGGCAUCCUCC
RNAcentral lists this non-coding RNA (81 nucleotides) under Methylobacterium radiotolerans. RNAcentral describes it as "ZTP sequence". It matches the Rfam family "ZMP/ZTP riboswitch aptamer (pfl RNA motif)". Rfam says of the family: Previously known as pfl RNA. ZMP is also known as AICAR. The record is from RNAcentral. Lineage: Bacteria; Pseudomonadati; Pseudomonadota; Alphaproteobacteria; Hyphomicrobiales; Methylobacteriaceae.